GAAGAGCGCAGCCAACUGUGCGAAAUAAUUUAAACUGCAUACUGCUUUGAAUAUCGAUAUCUGGAACGCAUAUUGCGGCCAUAGGUUAGCCUGUGGUCACGCCUGUCCCAGGGUCG
This 116-nucleotide ribosomal RNA is filed under the name Echinostoma caproni. Its description in RNAcentral is "5.8S ribosomal RNA". It matches the Rfam family "5.8S ribosomal RNA", at positions 38 to 154 of the family's 154-position model. From Rfam's summary of the family: 5.8S ribosomal RNA (5.8S rRNA) is a component of the large subunit of the eukaryotic ribosome. It is transcribed by RNA polymerase I as part of the 45S precursor that also contains 18S and 28S rRNA. The record is from Rfam by way of RNAcentral. Lineage: Eukaryota; Metazoa; Platyhelminthes; Trematoda; Plagiorchiida; Echinostomatidae.